Molecule: non-coding RNA, 30 nt
Filed under: Rattus norvegicus (Norway rat)
Lineage: Eukaryota; Metazoa; Chordata; Mammalia; Rodentia; Muridae
Source: RNAcentral
UCAGACUUGUUUGGAUUCAAGGGAUGACUC